Non-coding RNA from Bos taurus (domestic cattle), 57 nucleotides. NCBI's taxonomy places the organism in Eukaryota, Metazoa, Chordata, Mammalia, Artiodactyla, Bovidae. The record is from Rfam.
UAGCUCAGUCGGUAAAGAAUCUACCUGCAAUGCAGAAGACCCAGGUUCAAUUCCUGG